Molecule: transfer RNA, 85 nt
Filed under: Crocuta crocuta (spotted hyena)
Lineage: Eukaryota; Metazoa; Chordata; Mammalia; Carnivora; Hyaenidae
Also listed under: 1 other name
Rfam family: tRNA
About the family: Transfer RNA (tRNA) molecules are approximately 80 nucleotides in length. Their secondary structure includes four short double-helical elements and three loops (D, anti-codon, and T loops).
Source: Rfam by way of RNAcentral
GCCUGGGUGGCUCAGUCGGUUGAGCAUCCGACUUUGGCUCAGGUCAUGAUCUCACGGUUCGUGGGUUCGAGCCCUGCAUCAGGCU